UGCUAUACAUGCAGUCGAACGCACAGCGAAAGGUGCUUGCACCUUUCAAGUGAGUGGCGAACGGGUGAGUAACACGUGGACAACCUGCCUCAAGGCUGGGGAUAACAUUUGGAAACAGAUGCUAAUACCGAAUAAAACUUAGUGUCGCAUGACACAAAGUUAAAAGGCGCUUCGGCGUCACCUAGAGAUGGAUCCGCGGUGCAUUAGUUAGUUGGUGGGGUAAAGGCCUACCAAGACAAUGAUGCAUAGCCGAGUUGAGAGACUGAUCGGCCACAUUGGGACUGAGACACGGCCCAAACUCCUACGGGAGGCUGCAGUAGGGAAUCUUCCACAAUGGGCGAAAGCCUGAUGGAGCAACGCCGCGUGUGUGAUGAAGGCUUUCGGGUCGUAAAGCACUGUUGUAUGGGAAGAACAGCUAGAAUAGGAAAUGAUUUUAGUUUGACGGUACCAUACCAGAAAGGGACGGCUAAAUACGUGCCAGCAGCCGCGGUAAUACGUAUGUCCCGAGCGUUAUCCGGAUUUAUUGGGCGUAAAGCGAGCGCAGACGGUUUAUUAAGUCUGAUGUGAAAGCCCGGAGCUCAACUCCGGAAUGGCAUUGGAAACUGGUUAACUUGAGUGCAGUAGAGGUAAGUGGAACUCCAUGUGUAGCGGUGGAAUGCGUAGAUAUAUGGAAGAACACCAGUGGCGAAGGCGGCUUACUGGACUGCAACUGACGUUGAGGCUCGAAAGUGUGGGUAGCAAACAGGAUUAGAUACCCUGGUAGUCCACACCGUAAACGAUGAACACUAGGUGUUAGGAGGUUUCCGCCUCUUAGUGCCGAAGCUAACGCAUUAAGUGUUCCGCCUGGGGAGUACGACCGCAAGGUUGAAACUCAAAGGAAUUGACGGGGACCCGCACAAGCGGUGGAGCAUGUGGUUUAAUUCGAAGCAACGCGAGAACCUUACCAGGUCUUGACAUCCUUUGAAGCUUUUAGAGAUAGAAGUGUUCUCUUCGGAGACAAAGUGACAGUG
Molecule: ribosomal RNA, 1010 nt
Filed under: Leuconostoc mesenteroides
Lineage: Bacteria; Bacillati; Bacillota; Bacilli; Lactobacillales; Lactobacillaceae
Description: bacterial SSU rRNA
Rfam family: Bacterial small subunit ribosomal RNA
Source: RNAcentral